UGAUUGAAAUGUGAGUCCCAGUCUUGUGCAGGGGAGUCCUGGGGACCAUGACCAGAUGCUGAGAGGUGCUGAGUUCAGUGGGCACUCAGACCUCCUCCCUGCUCAGCCUCAUCGCAGCUGCUCCGUCUCCUUGCCAUGAAAUCUGAGCUCAGAGGAGAUGGGUUCUGGCAGCAUGGGAGCUAAUAAGCAAGACAGUGGAGCGCUCAGCGGAGCAGCGUUCCCUUUGGUUAGUGACCUAAUCCCCCAGGAGAGCGACGGCCCAGCUGGCAGCCGAACACACAGGAAAAUAGGUUACAUUGCUUGAUUAGAGCGGGCCUUCAAAGAGCAGGGCUGGCACUGGCACGGGCACCAGGGGCCAUGGAAAUGUCACCCUGAUAAGACCCGAGUGUUGUGUACAAUCCCUGAGCUCUAGGGACCAGCUCUCGAUUAAGGGCUGGGAGUUUCCAUUCUCAGCCCACGUCAGACUCCCAUGUGGUGCCCCAGGGUUAGGUCAAGAGGAGGUGGCUGGAAGGUGCCCGUCUCAGGCUGUAUUGUUCCUGCCACUGUGCAGCAGCCACACUCCUUUCAGCUUAAGUGAGUUUGGGGCUGGAGUCUGAACUCCUUGGGACAUCCCCAGAGGUGGGAUGAUGGGACAAUGCCAGGGCAAGCUUACUUUGCCCUGUCCCUCUGCCAGCAUGAUUUCCCUAUCACCCGCUGUGACCUCCUUCGGUGGAAGAGGGGUUUCAUUCUCCAUGUUCAUCAGGGCUUGGCCCCUCUGCUGAGGUGCUGGCAAGAGGCCAGAUCCCAGAAGUGACUUUUGUGAUGGGGACACCUGGCUGCCAGAAGCUGAGCUGAGGUCCCCACCCGAUUCAGUGCACACAGACCCCUGAGCCCUGGCAGCCGGAGUGGCUCCCAGCCAGCUCCAGAUAUGUCCCAGUGACUGAUGCCCCAGUGCCAGCCCUUCCUGCAGUGUUAACACUGACAUCCUGUGAGCUCUGGAGCUGAGAAUGUAUCCCAGGAACUCAAAUGCCAGGUAAGCUCCCAGUUUUCCACCUGGUCAUCAAGCCUGGGCUCUGUACAGCCUUCUAGACCCUCUGGAUUUGGCCCCAUUUCCAUGCACUGGGCCAAGCCCCAUAGCUUGUUUAACAACAUUCACCCAGUGCUCGGUGGUGGUGUCAGUGCUGAGAGGAGAGGGAAUCUGCUUUUCCUCUGCCUGGGGCAUCUGACAUCUGUGCCAGAACUGGUGCAGCAGGGUGAGCAGCACAACUUGCCCUGCUGUGCCUGCGCCACUGGGAGGUGACUGCAGUCCUGACUUGCAGGGUUUCUCUCACAGAGGAUAGAGUUCUUUCCCCAUGUUAUUUUGGAAGCAAUUGGUUUGUACCAGUUGGUGCCAAGAUCAAUAUCCUCCUCUCCCUCCCCCAGCCCUGAACUGCAUGUUCUAGUGUCCCUGUCUCUGAGCUGCAGAUUAUUCUCACAGGACAGCUGCAGAAAAAGCCACAGGGGCUCCCCCACCCUACCUGUGUACAGCUGGCUGAGGAUCCCUCCCACCGCCAGGAUGGGAGAAGAGUGAAAGCAAUUAUUGGCCUUCCUGAGCAGGGAACUUUAUAAAUCUGCCAUAUGCUGCAGGAGCAGGGAAGCUGCAGCCUCAUUCCUGCAGCUCUGCUGGGUCCUAGAGGGGAAGGCAAAGGUUGCACCAGGCAUAUGGCUUCCUCUGGCUGCCCUUCACUGCGGGCGAACACCCGAGUGGCUCUGUGCCCAAACAGGGAUAUUUGGCAAGUGAAUUCACUGGGAAGGGAAGCCAUACCAAUGCGUAUCUGAAUGCUCCACCGAGCACUGCUUCCGAGAGGGAGCUGUGCGAGGGGCAGGGAUAACCUAUCCCCUUGUGGUGGAGCUCAAGAAAAAUAUCACCUCGUGUGCUUACUCUGCACAGGAGCGAACAUCAUUCUGCCGAGCUGAGUGCCCAUGGGUGUGGUCUGUCACAACGAGGCCCCCUCUCUGCCAUAAGAACAGUGUUUGCCGCACUGGAUCAGACCAUUGGUCCAAUCUGGCACCCUGGCUCUGGCUUCAGAAUACAGUGAUGCGCUCCUCCCCUGACGUGGGCAUUGCCGAGGGGGCAGUUAUUCCACACAGCCAUGUUUCUGCAAGCUACCUGUGCUUGUUCUCCCAGCAGCACGUGCCCCUGGGGAGAAUAGGGGUGGGGUGGUCUCCUCUCCCAGCUCACACACCCAUGAUCCACAUGAACAAUUUUCAAGCAAGGCGAAAGGGCGGGUCUCAGCAAAGGGGGUGUUGGCAGGAGAAGUCGUGCCCAAUCUGCUUGGCCACUGAGCAGGGGGGAGGUGAAGCUUUCAGGAGCCCGCCAGCGUUCAGUGGAUUUGCAGUUUGAUCCUGGACCUAUCCAGGGCUUCUGCAGAAAUAACGUUUCAUUAAAUGUUUCUCGACCCCUCCCCCCCACAGUUAAGGGGAUUUGCAGUGCUGCACAUUGACUAGUGCUGGGUUGUGAACUUUAGCCGCUACUCCAAGGGUCUGUGUAUAUUGUCCUGGAAAUGUGGGUUUAGUGGCUUUAAUCUGGGUGGAGGACACUGCUGGGCUGAAAUAGUUUCUCAUCGUUUAGUAGAAACAAUCUGACUUUAGGGGAAAUAAAUUAAUCUAAGCUACAAUUGCUUUGUACACCUCUACCUCAAUACAGCGCGACCCAAUAUAACACGAAUUCGGAUACAACGCAGUAAAGCAGGGCGGGGGCGGGGCUGCGCACUCCAGUGGAUCAAAGCAAGUUCGAUAUAAUGCCGUUUCACCUACAACGCGCUAAAGCAGAGCUGACUGCCAUGCUGAGGCUCCAGACAGAUACAGGGCCCGAUACCUUGAAUCACAGCUGCAUAGAGCAGGAGUUAGUUCCAGCAACUUGCGAAAGAGAGGCAGCUGCUGCUUUCCAGUAAACAUGAUGUUCUGAAGCCUCAGGUUAAAAGCGAUCUCAAAAAACACUUACGAAGGAGGUCAGCAACAUCACCCCCAUGGGACAGACAGGGAAACUGAAGCCCAGAGAAGCAGUGAUUUGCCAAAGGUCAGUGGCAGAGUCAAGAAUGGAACGAGCCUCAACGCAGCGCCCUGGACUCCCCAAUCUAGGUCAGUCUCCUGCCUCUCCCAGACAUCAAUGCUGAGAGGGAAGGACUUAGUCAUUAGUUGUGCGCCCUGGUCUGACGUCAUCCUGUGAUGUGGAUCUGUCCUUUAGCUGGGGGCAGAAGGCAGCUGGCCUACAGGGCUCAUUAGCCACAGUGACCUGAGAGGUCUUUGUGCCCAAGUGCUCCCAUCCCAGUGUCGGUCUUUCUGCGAGGAGGAUCCGUCUUUUUGGGCUUUGCCAUCCCAAUAUUUGGGGCUUUCCUUCUGUCAGAGUAGUGCCCCCGGAGCCCUCUUGGGACCAAGGCCCUGCUGUGCUAGGGGCUGUACAAAGAACAAAGGCAGGCCCUGCCCCCGUGCGGGUCUGGACAGAAGGCCGGGGACAAGGGGCAGCUGAGGCCAUGCAGAGGCAGCACCCAUCGCGUGGCCUGGAACAGCAGGCUAAGUGGGUGGGUGUCAGCACUGGAGCGGGGCGCACAGGGUC
Long non-coding RNA from Gopherus flavomarginatus (Mexican gopher tortoise), 3574 nucleotides. RefSeq lists it as uncharacterized. NCBI's taxonomy places the organism in Eukaryota, Metazoa, Chordata, Testudines, Testudinidae. The transcript has 3 exons. The record is from RefSeq and is a predicted model, not a curated record.